GGAAGCGUGCCUGAGGGGUUGAAAGGGAUGGUCUUGAAAACCAUUAUACUCGUAAGAGUAUCGGAGGUUCGAAUCCUCCCGCUUCCGCCA
Molecule: transfer RNA, 90 nt
Filed under: Candidatus Wildermuthbacteria bacterium RIFCSPHIGHO2_12_FULL_40_12
Lineage: Bacteria; Candidatus Wildermuthiibacteriota
Also listed under: 1 other name
Description: tRNA-Ser
Rfam family: tRNA
About the family: Transfer RNA (tRNA) molecules are approximately 80 nucleotides in length. Their secondary structure includes four short double-helical elements and three loops (D, anti-codon, and T loops).
Source: RNAcentral